This is an RNA transcript of Crotalus tigris (Tiger rattlesnake), 3995 nucleotides long. It is a transcript of the gene named leucine, glutamate and lysine rich 1, with no coding region annotated. NCBI's taxonomy places the organism in Eukaryota, Metazoa, Chordata, Lepidosauria, Squamata, Viperidae. The record is from RefSeq and is a predicted model, not a curated record. The transcript is spliced from 15 exons.
GCCCUACUUCCGGGACUUGGCCUGGCAUGCUAGUUGGUUGCUAUGGAAACGAAGAAGCGGAGAAGCUCCUGGUGGGGCGUUGACAACUUGCGCGGCUUUCGUUGCUGCUGCCCGCGGUGUUUUGCUAGCUGAGCUUGGGGGUUUUGUGACAGUCUUCUGAUAAUUCUUUAAAAAAAUAUAGAAAGAAAUGGAUCGACAUAUACCUGUGUAUCCUUUGCCAGAAGAAAUAAGAAAGAUGUCCCGAGAUGAAACAAUAUGUAAAUAUUGUGGAGUCAGUUAUUUGGUCCUUCAUGAAUUUAAGCUACUGGAUGAGAAAGUAAAAGCAAUGGAAAAGAAGAUGAAGUUUUAUGAGGGCAGUGUGGAACGGGAGAAAAUACUGCAAGAAAAACUACAGUGUCUAAGUCAAGAUUUUGAACAAUGCACAGCAGCUAGUGAAUCAAAAACAGAAAGAAUAAAAGAAUUAGUUACAGAACUUGAAAAUAAGGAAACUGCAAUAGAGAAUCUAAACAAACAGUCGAGAAGCUUUCACAAAGAAAAGGAAGAUAUAUGGAGACAGUCACAACUAGUUCAGAAAACAUUGCAACAACAUAAAUUUAUCCUAAAGAAAGCCUUUAAUCUUAUUCCCUUUAUCAGGGAAGAAUUAAACAAGUUUAAAGAAGAAGUACUUGGUUUUCUCAAAGAAUGGAUUUCACUAAAAGGAGAGAUAUUUUUACAACUAAAAACCAUUAAUAAAAUAGGACUGGCAGAAGUAUCCAGUUUGAACCAAACCUUAGGUGAGUGUCAGAGGAAAAAUCUAGUACUUCAGGAAGAGGUGGAACACCUAAGAGUGAAGUCAAAUGCAGCUGCACUGGAAGCUAAGCAACUUCAGGCUUCUCUUUUACGGGAGAAUGAAUUACAAAAUAAAUGUAAGGAAUUACAAAAGAAAACGCAAGAAAUAACAGAUGAAAUACAGGCAACUGAACUCAAGUUCCAGAAAGCUGCCGGUGAAAUUACAUAUUUUAAAGAAUUAGUCAUAAAGAAAUCAAAAGAAUGUGAAGACCAUCAGAGGGAAUUUCAAAAGUUGUCAUCUGAAAUUGGAAUAGCUAAAUCUCGGUUUACUCAUAUAGUGACAGAAAAAGAACAAUCUUUACUUGCCUGCCAACAAAUGUAUCAAUGUUUACAGGAAGAAACAAUUGCGAAAGAAAAAAGAGAAGAUAAUUUUAAAAAAAGAACAAAGAUUUUGGAAAGUGAAUUGGAAACAAUCAACAACCUUCUGAAACAGCAAGAGGAAGAAAUAGUCAUCCUUAAGCAAGAAAGGGAGUCAGUACUGGUUUCCCAUAAGAAGAUAACAGAACAGAUGCAGGAGACAUUAAGACAGAAAGUGCUAAAUGAAAAGAAUUGGCAAGAAAAGGUUGAAACUGAUAGAGUGAAAGAGCACACCAGUCACAAAGAAGAGAUUGCUAGACUGAAAGAAGAAGCCAGAAUAGAACUAGAUAUUGAGAAACAAAAGCAUCAGGAAUUAAUUGCAAAAUAUCAGAAAGAUCAGUAUGAGCUGCUACAUACAAAGAUACCUCUAUUGAUAUGUAAUGCUACUAAUAAACUGAAGGUUGAAAUGGAGACACUUGAAAAGAAACUCCAUGAAGCAGAGAGGAGGGUUAAUGAGAAAGAUCACGAGGGGGAAAAAGAAUGGCAAAGCCUCAAAAGACAAAUAACUGAGCUUGAGUUCCAGCUGAAGGAAGAACAGAGCAUUCAUAAUUCAGUGACAGAAGAGAUGAAAGAAGAAAUUAAAAAGAAGACCUGUGAACUGGAAAAACUAACUGAGGAACAAAAACAAUUGAUUCAGACAAUGAAUCAAGUUCAAGAGGAGAAUGCCCUUCUCCAGGACACUGUACGCAGGGAGUGUGAGGAACGCUAUGAGCUUACUGAGGCUUUGGUUCAAGCUAAAGAACAAGUCAUGGAACUAAAAAAACUUGGUGGAAACUUUCCCUUGACACAGUGUUCCCUCGGUCAGGGCACUUCAACUUCCUGCUCCACUUUGAUCAAUAGUCAAAGGUGCUCAAAAGCUUCAAAAAGGAUAACAUCUGAGAUUUCAAGAACCACUAAAGCAGUAGUGUGUGGUAGGAACCAAAACAGCUUCAGUGUUAGCUUGCCUGCUCUACCUACAUUGCAGUCACCUCAAAGGAGAACGUCUCUCGAUGAAUCCAGGAGAAGAAUCACAGCAGUUAUAAAAAGACAAAUGAGUCAACUAUGAUGAGAAAAGAAUUGCUACAUUAUCUAAGUUUCUUAAAGUGAUCCUUCAGGAGGGUUUCAUCUCUUUAUAUAGCAAUAAUGAACAGUAAUCACCAAUAAGAGUUUCUCCACAUCAGGGGCGACAGACUGUAGACCGGAUACAUCAUGCGUAGGCCAUGCCCAUCCCAGCUCUUCAAAAGCAAAAAAUAUUGUGAUGUCACGAUACGUCAUGUGACGUAAUCAAGUUUGACACCCAUGCUCUACAUGAAUUACUUUGACCCUACAUCUACCUCCUUUGAAAGCUGUCCAAUAAGGGAACCAGAAGGACUGGGAAUGGAAUCUAACAAGCUGAUAAUGAUACAUGUGAAAAGAUUCUGCUAAAGACCAAGAAGCAGAAGCAAACAAAAUGUCAGAACAAAUGAUGGAAAUUGCCAAGAAAAAGAGAGAAUGCAAAGACAAGAAAAACAAGAACUUCAGAAAGGAACUUCUCAAAGUAUUUCAGUGUCCGGGGCUCAUGUGAUCACUUUUUGUGACCUGACGAGCAAAGUCAAUGGAGAAGCCAGUUUCACUUAACAACUGUUGUCACUAACUUAACAACUGCAGUGAAUCACUCAAAAACUAUGGCAAAUGUCUCACUUAGAGACAUAUAUUUUGGGCUCAAUUGUGGUUGUAACUUGAGGACUAUCUGUACUGGCUUACUCAUUCCUAAUAAUCAGCACUCCAUGAACAGUUUUCACUUUUUCAAAGUAUGAUAUGAAGUAUGACUCAAGAACUGGAUUUAUUUAUUUUAAAUUAUAUCAGACUGGAUUUAUUUAUUUUAAAUUAUAAAUUGUAUCUCGGGUUUCCGAUUCAAAAAGCACAUUUACUAAAACAAAACAAAAUAUAUGCCUACAUAAUACGUCAAGUCUCCCUCAAACUGAGUUCUGCUCCUGGUGACUAGCUGGACAGAACGCAUAAAUAAAAUAUCCAUAGACUAAAAAUAUACGUAGAAAUAAUGUUUCCAACAACGAAAAUAUUGAUGAAAGUAUAAAAACAUAACAUCUUUUAACUUUUCUAAAUUCUCUUUUUGGACUCCAGGAAACAUAGUAAAUAGAACAAGAAUGUGAUUUAUUAUUUGCAAAAAAACCCCAUAUUUUGUUCAGAACAAUGAAAGGAAAUCAAGUCCGAUAAUUUUGAAAGAAAGCUCUAAUUUUAUUAAUAUCGUAUUUAAUACUGAAGCAAAUAUUUCAUUUAGUUAGGGAGCCCUUCAACUUUUAUAAUGUUACCACAAUAUUAAUAUAACAUGACAUUUUUUUCUACUGAGGCCUUCUGAGUCAGCUCUCACCUUGUUCCCUACCUCUGCCUUACCACCAGCAAGCUGGAAUCAAAAUACUAAUCUGAAUAUAUGUUGGAUCAUGAUUUUGAAAAGCAAAAUAGACAGAAGUACUACAAAGAGAAAAAAAUAUUCAUGUUUUCUUGCCAGCAUCAUCUUGUGGCUCUGGAGGAAUUACUAUUCCCCAACGAUAUUGACAACCUCUGGCAAGGCGAUGGGGCAAUCAGCCUAAAUCAAUUCCACUUAUUUAUUUUUGUCCAUUUGCAUGUAUGAAAAUGUGUCAGUGACUACUAGAAAAGAAAAAAAAUUAGAAGAAAUAUAAUGGAGUAAGUGAUAAUAUUGUAAACCUACUGAAGCCAUUUGAUUUUAAAAUUUGUGCUCUGGAAAAUAUACUCUGAUUACCAUCUGCUUCUUGUUACAUUUAUUCUCACAGUUUGUCAAAUAAUUGAUAAAUAAAAAGUAUUUUGAGAGGCCA